This 274-nucleotide ribosomal RNA is filed under the name uncultured bacterium. RNAcentral's name for it is "partial 16S ribosomal RNA". It matches the Rfam family "Bacterial small subunit ribosomal RNA", at positions 334 to 605 of the family's 1533-position model. The record is from RNAcentral.
GAUACCUACGGGGGGCAGCAGUGAGGAAUAUUGGUCAAUGGGAGAGAUCCUGAACCAGCCAAGCCGCGUGAGGGAAGACGGCCCUAUGGGUUGUAAACCUCUUUUGUCGGAGAACAAAACCCGGGACGUGUCCCGGACUGCGUGUAUCCGAAGAAAAAGCAUCGGCUAACUCCGUGCCAGCAGCCGCGGUAAUACGGAGGAUGCGAGCGUUAUCCGGAUUUAUUGGGCGUAAAGCGGGUGCAGGCGGUUCAAUAAGGCUGAUGUGAAAGCAUUC